Molecule: long non-coding RNA, 1717 nt
Filed under: Linum usitatissimum (flax)
Lineage: Eukaryota; Viridiplantae; Streptophyta; Magnoliopsida; Malpighiales; Linaceae
Description: long non-coding RNA (LUSI_LNC006926)
Source: RNAcentral
CCUCAUUCCUUUGACAUGGGACUGCUGGGCUUUUCUGACACUUUGCCCAUGGAUCUCUAUUACCUUUACUCCAUUAUAUGCCUCAGCAAAAACGCAGACUGAGUUCAUUUUCUUACUCCGAUUGGCUUAAUGUUUUCAACCAAGUCUGUAAUAUGUACAUUGAUCAGACUUGUACUUCACCAACAAUAUUUAGGACGACCUUUAGCUAAAAAACUAAAAGGGGUUGUAGCUCGAAUAAUGCUACGAUGCUGGUAAUGGUUGUAUGAGUAUCCAAGUGAGAUUGCAACUUGCUAGACCUCUGCACAAUAUCAAGCUUAUAAUUCAACUUGUAAUGCUCAGAAUUCCACUGCAGGAACAAUCCAUUGAUUGCCGGUCACUCAUUGGGAAAGCCUAAUCACCACAUAAGUUCAACAUUCAAGCUGAUUCAUUGAAUAUUGCUUCAGUAUAACCCAAAAACAGAGCAGACUUAUAUGGGUACAAAAGAAACUAUUAUUUAUAAACCGAUACCAACACAACGUAAGAUCCCGAAGACCACCUUAACUCUAUAAGAAGAAGACUGCUUACAAGGAACAAGAACUGAAUUGUCCUAAACCUAAAUGGAGUUCAACCGACAACCAAAAUACCAAAUAACAUCGUGAAAUGCUAAAACUAGAACAACAAACCAAAUUUGAGAUACAUUUGCAAACUUGAAUUCUGCAACAAGUAGUGUAGUGUAACCCACGAUUGUUCCAACAUGCUUAUGCUAGCUAGACGGCUCAUCCCUCUCCUAUAAUCUAGCAGGGAGGGAUUCGGGUUCAACUUUAUCAGCAAAAGAAGACAGAGAUAUCAUGUACAAGAGAUAACAUACAUCAGCAGAUGAAGAAGAGCAAAGGGAAAUUCCAGCUCAGACAGGAGGAAUGUUGGAAAAGGAGAAUCCUUUGCAUCCUUUGUAUGCAUAAUAAGCAAGCCUGGUGUAAUAAGAUCCCGGUAUGAAGAGAACCACUCCCAAUACCACGAAGAACAGCCCUGAUCUAUCACCCAUCCAUCAUUAUUAUUAUUACUAUUCAAAGUUACCAAAUUAGGAAAGCCCUAAACCCAAACCCUAACUAAAUCUCCAAUCUAAAAGAACAAAGACAAGGAAAGGAAGGAUUGAUUUACCGUGGGCUCUAUCGCCGCCGACUCGGUUGGAGGUCAUAUAAAAUCCGAGGACGAUUCCGAUGACGCCGUAGAUGGCGCCGCCACGCAAUCUCUUUUUUAUUUCAUUUUUUACUAACUAGUAAUUGUUAAUUGUUUGCAUUUAGACUUGGCAGGUCGAAGCCCAACGUACGGAUACCCGCCUCAAGCCCGCCUGCGAUGGAUGGGUUUUAUCCGUUCAAACAAACCCGUUGACGGGUGAUGCGUAACCGAAAAUCCGUAGCUACUAGGUAGAGGGUCGGGUUGAGUAGUAUUUGUUCCGAUAUUUGUCUGAUGGAUUAUUAAUUUGUUUGUAGAACGAUGGAUAAUCUGACGAGUGAAUCUUAUUUCAUUUACUAAUUUAUAGAACACAACUACUCAGAGAGUCAGAGUAAGGAUUUUGGACUCUUACAGAGCGUAUGGAUAAGAUACUUGAAUGAAGUAUUUUAGAUUAAAUUUUGAGUUAUUUUUCCAUUUUUAUAUUAUUUAAAAGUAUUAAUUCAAAAUAUACAAUAAAAUAUAACAUAUAAAAAUUAAAAAAUUAAUACAAUAAUAUAACUCGAAA